CGGGAAACUGGGGAUAAUACCGGAUAUAUGGAGAUGCCUGGAAUGGUACUCCACUUAAAGCUCCGGCGCCUAAGGAUGGAUCUGCGGCAGAUUAGGUCGUUGGUGGGGUAAUGGCCCACCAAGCCUAUAAUCUGUACGGGUUGGGAGAGCAAGGGCCCGGAGAUGGAACCUGAGACAAGGUUCCAGGCCCUACGGGGCGCAGCAGGGCCAAAACCCCGCAAUGCCAGGAAUCGCGACCGGGGGACCCCAAGUGCCACUCUUAACGGGGUGGCUUUUCUUAAGUGUAAACAGCUUUUGGAAUAAGGGCUGGGCAAGACCGGUGCCAGCCGCCGCGGUAACA
RNAcentral lists this ribosomal RNA (340 nucleotides) under uncultured archaeon. RNAcentral describes it as "partial 16S ribosomal RNA". It matches the Rfam family "Archaeal small subunit ribosomal RNA", at positions 133 to 475 of the family's 1478-position model. The record is from RNAcentral.